Molecule: non-coding RNA, 2253 nt
Organism: Struthio camelus australis
Lineage: Eukaryota; Metazoa; Chordata; Aves; Struthioniformes; Struthionidae
Source: RefSeq, a predicted model, not a curated record
CGCCCGGAGCUGCCAAACAACUCACUCAUGUUCCCUCCUUAGGCGCAGACUCACGCUGGCUCGCGGGCUGGUAUUUCACGAUCAAACGAGGGACGUGCCCGGAGCCAAGCCAGCGUCUGCGCGUCCCUUGGCUCAUCUCUCCGGCCAACUCGCUGACGCCAAGUACCACAGAUGGCCGCCCUGACGCGUCAGGGGGUCCGACCUGGGAAAUCAAGACCAGGAGCUGCAAACGUAGAAUCGGUUACGCUGGAAGUCACCGGAGGCUUCCGCAGCUCCGAGGAACGUGAAGACCUAGAAGCUCAACGUGAGCUUGAAGAGAUUUUUGAGGCCUGUGCUCUGGGAUAGACGGCAUGGUGGAUCAUGCUUUUCCCCCACACCAACCCAGCAACACCAAGAAAUAAGAAUGAUGCUGUAUUUACUGCAGAGAUUUGAUAGCAAGGACUGAGAACGUUAAAACAGAGAGCUCAUGUUCAGCAAUGGAGAUAAAGUGUAAUAGUAAACAGCUGCCUCAUUUCCUUGACCUUGGGGUAAUUUCUGUGCCAAAUACAGAGAGACUUCUCUAUUAAAAUAGCAUGUGACCACAUCACUGAAGAUCACAAAUGAACACAAAAAUGAAGGCUUACCAGACAAUCUGAAAUGUAUUGUUACAGCUCAUUGAGAAUUUAAAAAAAUAAUUCUGCAAGAUAUUUUAAAAGUGUUUCAUUUUGAAAUGUCUGGAAUGCCAUCGUUUUAAUGUUUCUGAAAGCAGUACUGAAAACAGCAUUGGACUAAAUAAAAUGCACCUUGAAUUUUUUUUUUAGUUCUGCCACCUGAGGUAGCUUGCAAUGGGAUCAGACAAGCACCUGUGCCAGUGUAGCAGAAGGCCAGGAAACGCGCAGCCAGGAGCAUGGACCGGGGAAGGGGAGUACAUGCCCACCCCUCUUGGCCACAGCUGUGACUCAGAAAUUCAAAUUUGGAACAGGAGAUCCUGAGAGAACAUCCAGCAACCUGGACAUUCACUUGCUCAUUUCCCUGUGAGAUUGGUCUUAAAUCCAGUAGAUGAGAACUUGAAUUGGAAACAAAAGAUUUCAGGUUUUUAAGGCUGUCCUGAGCAUCUGAGGACUCAUCAUGAGCGCAGAAAAUGAACCCUCACACGCUGCUUAUAUAUGGACAAUGUCAUCCUAAGUGGAAGAUGUAUAACAAGAACAUGGAAAAAGAUACCUCAACAUCUUUGGCAGCAGUCCUACAAAUUAUGUUGAGAGAAGUCAACAGAAAUAAAUAAUUACUUACUGCAAGGGUUACGAAGGCCCAGAGGAAAAAAAUCUUGAAAAUUUUCAGAGAAAAUGAGGCUAUGGAAAAAAAGAAUUCUUAGGAGAAAGCUGAAGUGAAGCUUUCAUGCAGACUACUUUCUUUCAGAAUGCACACUGAAAUAAUUUCUAGUGUAUUGUUUAAAAUUAUUUUAUUAACACUCUCUUUCAGAACGCCUUCUGUAGUUAAUAAGUACUUCCAAUGAAUCACAGAAAAACACGAGCUGGAAGAGAAGGCAUCCAGUUCAACUCUCUUCCCUAAGAGAGACUCAACUACACUAUAUAACUCCUAAGAUACUUGUCCUUGUCUGAUCUUCAUGACUGCCAACAAAGAAACUCAGCAAUUUCCCAAAGCGACCUAUUCCAGUGUAUCACAAUCUUUACCAUUUGAAAGUUUUCCCUACUAUCUAACCUGAAGUUUCUAUACCCAAGGAAGCUCGUGACUUUUUGUACCAUCCACCUUGACACUGAAAACACAUUAUCUCCUUUCUCUUUGCUAUAGAUUUUAACAUACUGCAAGACUGUUACCACGUUCUUUCUCAUUUUUCUCUUCUUUAGACUAAACAACUCUAUUUCUUUUGAUCUUUUCUCCACAGUCAUCUUUCUGAGAUCUCUGAUCACCCUUAUAUGGAGGCUAUCCAAUAAUGCACGUUGCUUUUGGAGAGCAAUGCCCAAGUUUGGGCACAAGUGCUCCUGCUAUUGAGCAGAAAGGCAGCUUCACAUAUCUAGUAGGCUCCCUUGUUUAUACAAACUAGUAUGAUGUUUGCCUUUUUCACAACAUCAUGACAUUGCUGACUUACAUUCAGUCUAUGAUUCCCUGGAAUCCCAGCUACUUUUCUAAAGGAACUGCUGUAUAAGCAGUUGUUCACCAUCCGCUGCUUGUGGAGUUGUUAUUCCUGCUCCAGCAUAGUGUCUUCAGCUUAUGACUGCUUAAUUUAAUUCUGGUUUUUUUCCCCUCUAGACUAUU